Molecule: ribosomal RNA, 478 nt
Filed under: uncultured bacterium
Lineage: Bacteria
Description: partial 16S ribosomal RNA
Rfam family: Bacterial small subunit ribosomal RNA
Source: RNAcentral
GAUGAACGCUGGCGGCGUGCUUAACACAUGCAAGUCGAACGAGAAGUGAAGACGGAAACCUUCGGGCGGAAGGCUUUAUUUCGAGUGGCGGACGGGUGAGCAACGCGUGGGUAACCUGCCUCAUACAGGGGGAUAACAGUUGGAAACGACUGUUAAUACCGCAUAAGACCACAGCACCGCAUGGUGCGGGGGUAAAAACUCCGGUGGUAUGAGAUGGACCCGCGUUCGAUUAGCCAGUUGGCGGGGUAACGGCCCACCAAAGCGACGAUCGAUAGCCGAUCUGAGAGGAUGACCGGCCACAUUGGGACUGAGACACGGCCCAAACUCCUACGGGAGGCAGCAGUGGGGAAUAUUGCACAAUGGGGGAAACCCUGAUGCAGCGACGCCGCGUGAGUGAAGAAGUAUUUCGGUAUGUAAAGCUCUAUCAGCAGGGAAGAAAAUGACGGUACCUGAGGAAGAAGCCCCGGCUAACUACGUG